Molecule: long non-coding RNA, 866 nt
Organism: Salvia miltiorrhiza (redroot sage)
Lineage: Eukaryota; Viridiplantae; Streptophyta; Magnoliopsida; Lamiales; Lamiaceae
Exons: 3
Source: RefSeq, a predicted model, not a curated record
GGGAUUUCGAUUUUUCCAGAAACUUCUUGUGGAUCAAGUUGAGGGCGUUGACCGUUGUUAUCAUAUUUGUAUCCUGACUCAUCCUCCAACAUUUUAUCCAAAACAUCCAUCGCAUUUAGAUACUCCCUCCGUCCCACGAAUCUUGACACGUUUUCAUUUUUGGGCCGUCCCACGAAUCAUGACACAUUUUCAAAUAAGCUUUGUGCAGGAUGGUAUUUCCAUCUUUCCUGCGGGCGAGAGACUCGUCUUGGGGCUUAAGUUUGUGCAGACGGCGGAAAACAGCGAGGUUGCCGUGAAGAGCGGCCAGGAACAAGGGCGUCUCCCCCUUUUUGUUCCGACUGUGGAGGGGGGGCUGGAGGAGAUCCUGUUCCUGGAGGCUGUCGAAGAUGGGUAGGCAUCCAACGGCAGCCGCGAGAUGGAGAGGGGUGUCUCCUCUCUGGUUCUCCGUCGCCAGCACGGUGGCUAGCGUGCCACUGCUCUUCAUGAGUUGAAUCAUGUGCGUGAGGUGGGAGGAGGGUGUUUUAGGAUGGUAAGUGGAGAUUGCGACGUGCAAAGCCGUCUCCAGUGACUUGGUCAGCUUGGUGUGGUGAAGGGUGUUGUUUUCCUUGAGAAUUUGUAACACUUGGCUCCAUCGGUUCUCCAUUGUCGCCUUAUACAGAUCAUCGAACUGCUUGCCGUCCACCGCUUCUACACACUGCCCUCCUCCGUUUUCCGGAUUCAUCUUUUGCUGCCUUCUUCUUUCUUAAUUUCUCUCGUUUUUCAGUUGCACUAAAUAAAAUACUACACCAUAUAUAAAUUAAUUUAGGAAUGUCAUCACGUAUUUCAACUUUAUUAUGUAAUAAUAAUAGUAGUAUUUCUUUUUAUAA